UACGAAGGGGGCUAGCGUUGUUCGGAAUUACUGGGCGUAAAGGGCGCGUAGGCGGCGCGUCAAGUCAGGCGUGAAAGCCCCGGGCUUAACCUGGGAAUUGCGCUUGAGACUGGCGUGCUUGAGUUCGGGAGAGGUGAGUGGAAUUCCCAGUGUAGAGGUGAAAUUCGUAGAUAUUGGGAAGAACACCGGUGGCGAAGGCGGCUCACUGGACCGACACUGACGCUGAGGCGCGAAAGCGUGGGGAG
This 245-nucleotide ribosomal RNA is filed under the name uncultured bacterium. RNAcentral's name for it is "partial 16S ribosomal RNA". It matches the Rfam family "Bacterial small subunit ribosomal RNA", at positions 524 to 768 of the family's 1533-position model. The record is from RNAcentral.